UACGUAGGGGGCAAGCGUUGUCCGGAUUUAUUGGGCGUAAAGAGCGUGUAGGCGGUUUGGUAGGUCCGUUGUGAAAACUCGAGGCUCAACCUCGAGACGCCGAUGGAAACCAUCAGACUAGAGUCCGGAAGAGGAGAGUGGAAUUCCUGGUGUAGCGGUGAAAUGCGCAGAUAUCAGGAGGAACACCGAUGGUGAAGGCAGGUCUCUGGGCAUUAACUGACGCUGAGGAGCGAAAGCAUGGGGAGCGAACAGG
RNAcentral lists this ribosomal RNA (253 nucleotides) under uncultured bacterium. RNAcentral describes it as "partial 16S ribosomal RNA". It matches the Rfam family "Bacterial small subunit ribosomal RNA", at positions 524 to 776 of the family's 1533-position model. The record is from RNAcentral.